GAUUUCGAUCUCUGCUUACUGCAACCUCCACCUCCCAGGUUCCAGCAAUUCUCAUGCCUCAGCUCCCCAAGUAACUGGGAUUACAGGCGCCCACCACUACGCCUGGCUAAUUUUUGUAUUUUUAGUGGGUUUCUCCAUGUUGGCCAGGCUAGUCUUGAACUCCUGACUUCAGAUGAUCCACCCGCCUUGGCCUCCCAAAGUGCUGGGAUUACAAGUGUGAGCCACCAUGCCUGGCCAAUAGGCGAGGAUUUUAUUGGCCAAGUACAACUUGAGCUUGUGCUUCUUUAAGGAUAUCCCAGGUUUGGAUGAGUGUUGAGGAAGAGAAAGGCUAUUCAAAGGGCCUGGGGUUGUGGGAACAGAGUUGAUAAUGCAUCAGAAUGCAGAGAUGAUGGGGAGGAAUCCUAGUUGGAGGGAAACGACACAGGUGAUUGAAUGGUAGUGUUAGUGGUAGAUCUUGGG
Molecule: long non-coding RNA, 459 nt
Filed under: Homo sapiens (human)
Lineage: Eukaryota; Metazoa; Chordata; Mammalia; Primates; Hominidae
Description: HSALNT0233350
Source: RNAcentral